This 478-nucleotide ribosomal RNA is filed under the name uncultured bacterium. RNAcentral's name for it is "partial 16S ribosomal RNA". It matches the Rfam family "Bacterial small subunit ribosomal RNA", at positions 28 to 523 of the family's 1533-position model. The record is from RNAcentral.
GACGAACGCUGGCGGCGUGCUUAACACAUGCAAGUCGAACGGUAAGGCCCUUCGGGGUACACGAGUGGCGAACGGGUGAGUAACACGUGGGUGAUCUGCCCUGCACUUCGGGAUAAGCCUGGGAAACUGGGUCUAAUACCGGAUAGGACCACUGCCUGCAUGGGUGGUGGUGGAAAGCUUUUGCGGUGUGGGAUGGGCCCGCGGCCUAUCAGCUUGUUGGUGGGGUGAUGGCCUACCAAGGCGACGACGGGUAGCCGGCCUGAGAGGGUGACCGGCCACACUGGGACUGAGAGACGGCCCAGACUCCGACGGGAGGCAGCAGGGGGGAAUAUUGCACAAUGGGCGCAAGCCUGAUGCAGCGACGCCGCGUGAGGGAUGACGGCCUUCGGGUUGUAAACCUCUUUCAGCACCGACGAAGCGCAAGUGACGGUAGGUGCAGAAGAAGGACCGGCCGACUACGUGCCAGCCGCCGCCGUAA